RNAcentral lists this ribosomal RNA (497 nucleotides) under uncultured bacterium. RNAcentral describes it as "partial 16S ribosomal RNA". It matches the Rfam family "Bacterial small subunit ribosomal RNA", at positions 28 to 507 of the family's 1533-position model. The record is from RNAcentral.
GAUGAACGCUGGCGGCGUGCCUAAUACAUGCAAGUCGAGCGAACAGAUGAGGAGCUUGCUCCUCUGACGUUAGCGGCGGACGGGUGAGUAACACGUGGAUAACCUACCUAUAAGACUGGGAUAACUUCGGGAAACCGGAGCUAAUACCGGAUAAUAUAUUGAACCGCAUGGUUCAAUAGUGAAAGACGGUUUUGCUGUCACUUAUAGAUGGAUCCGCGCCGCAUUAGCUAGUUGGUAAGGUAACGGCUUACCAAGGCAACGAUGCGUAGCCGACCUGAGAGGGUGAUCGGCCACACUGGAAGUGGGACACGGUCCAGACUCCUACGGGAGGCAGCAGUAGGGAAUCUUCCGCAAAGGGCGAAAGCCUGACGGAGCAACGCCGCGUGAGUGAUGAAGGUCUUCGGAUCGUAAAACUCUGUUAUUAGGGAAGAACAAAUGUGUAAGUAACUAUGCACGUCUUGACGGUACCUAAUCAGAAAGCCACGGCUAACUACGUG